GUCCACACCGUAAACGAUGAUUACUAGGUGUUGGAGGAUUGACCCCUUCAGUGCCGCAGUUAACACAAUAAGUAAUUCACCUGGGGAGUACGACCGCAAGGUUGAAACUCAAAGGAAUUGACGGGGCCCGCACAAGCAGUGGAGUAUGUGGUUUAAUUCGAAGCAACGCGAAGAACCUUACCAAGUCUUGACAUCCCUUGACGAUGCUGGAAACAGCAUUUCUCUUCGGAGCAAGGAGACAGGUGGUGCAUGGUUGUCGU
RNAcentral lists this ribosomal RNA (260 nucleotides) under uncultured bacterium. Its description in RNAcentral is "partial 16S ribosomal RNA". It matches the Rfam family "Bacterial small subunit ribosomal RNA", at positions 793 to 1055 of the family's 1533-position model. The record is from RNAcentral.